RNAcentral lists this ribosomal RNA (376 nucleotides) under uncultured organism. RNAcentral's name for it is "partial 16S ribosomal RNA". It matches the Rfam family "Bacterial small subunit ribosomal RNA", at positions 527 to 896 of the family's 1533-position model. The record is from RNAcentral.
GGGGGGAGCAAACGUUGUUCGGAAUCACUGGGCGUAAAGGGCGCGUAGGCGGCCCCGCAAGUGGUGUGUGAAAUGCCCUGGCUCAACCAGGGAACUGCGCACCAAACUGCGGAGCUUGAGGGCAGUAGAGGAAGCUGGAAUUCCUGGUGUAGCGGUGAAAUGCGUAGAUAUCAGGAGGAACACCGUUGGCGAAGGCGAGCUUCUGGGCUGUUCCUGACGCUGAGGCGCGAAAGCUGGGGGGGAGCAAACAGGAUUAGAUACCCUGGUAGUCCCAGCCGUAAACGGUGAACACUAGGUGUGGGGGGGGUGUCGACCCUUUCCGUGCCGCAGCUAACGCAUUAAGUGUUCCGCCUGGGGAAGUACGGUCGCAAGGCUG